Pristis pectinata (smalltooth sawfish) is the source of this 73-nucleotide non-coding RNA. NCBI's taxonomy places the organism in Eukaryota, Metazoa, Chordata, Chondrichthyes, Rhinopristiformes, Pristidae. The record is from the annotation of a RefSeq genome assembly.
GUUUCUGUGGUGUAGUGGUUAUCACGUUCGCUUGACACGCGAAAGGUCCGCAGUUCAAUCCUAGGCAGAAACA